CAGGGCGUGGCUAAAUAGUAAAGCAUCUCCCUUACACCGAGAAGACGCCCGUGCAAAUCGGGCCGCCCUGA
Molecule: transfer RNA, 71 nt
Filed under: Centrobranchus choerocephalus
Lineage: Eukaryota; Metazoa; Chordata; Actinopteri; Myctophiformes; Myctophidae
Description: tRNA-Val
Rfam family: tRNA
About the family: Transfer RNA (tRNA) molecules are approximately 80 nucleotides in length. Their secondary structure includes four short double-helical elements and three loops (D, anti-codon, and T loops). Further hydrogen bonds mediate the characteristic L-shaped molecular structure. tRNAs have two regions of fundamental functional importance: the anti-codon, which is responsible for specific mRNA codon recognition, and the 3' end, to which the tRNAs corresponding amino acid is attached (by aminoacyl-tRNA synthetases). tRNAs cope with the degeneracy of the genetic code in two manners: having more than one tRNA (with a specific anti-codon) for a particular amino acid; and 'wobble' base-pairing, i.e. permitting non-standard base-pairing at the 3rd anti-codon position.
Source: RNAcentral